UCGAGCAGAUUUACAAGUAGGAGGAUGGUGUUUGGUCUUACUCUAAAGCUACUGCUAGAAAGAAUUGAUCCCUCACGACUCGAUUAAGAUGGUACAAACUCUAUACUUUCCUCCUCAUUCUGCUUCAUGAGGAGAGAGGCAAUCUGUCAAAGAGUUGAAGGAGAAGACAGAAGAACUUAAAGGUCACAUGAAGACCUAAAAGUUAGGCUGGGUGGCCAAUUCAAUGGAUGGCCUGAGACGGUGAAAUGACGAGUGUAGAACAAAGUA
Cucumis sativus (cucumber) is the source of this 267-nucleotide long non-coding RNA. RefSeq lists it as uncharacterized. Lineage: Eukaryota; Viridiplantae; Streptophyta; Magnoliopsida; Cucurbitales; Cucurbitaceae. The transcript is spliced from 3 exons. The record is from RefSeq and is a predicted model, not a curated record.